This 110-nucleotide ribosomal RNA is filed under the name Microcebus murinus (gray mouse lemur). The record is from RNAcentral. Lineage: Eukaryota; Metazoa; Chordata; Mammalia; Primates; Cheirogaleidae.
GUCUACGGCCAUGCCACCCUGAACAUGCCCGAUCUCGUCUGAUCCUGGAAGCUAAGCAGGGUCGGGCCUGGUUAGUACUUGGAAGGGAGAUAAUGCAGGGAGGCGAGUUA